RNAcentral lists this ribosomal RNA (253 nucleotides) under uncultured bacterium. RNAcentral describes it as "partial 16S ribosomal RNA". It matches the Rfam family "Bacterial small subunit ribosomal RNA", at positions 524 to 776 of the family's 1533-position model. The record is from RNAcentral.
UACGUAGGCAGCAAGCGUUGUUCGGAAUUACUGGGCGUAAAGAGUGUGUAGGCGGUGCUCUAAGUCUGUUGUGAAAUCUCCCGGCUUAACUGGGAGGGUGCGGCGGAGACUGGAGUGCUAGAGUGUGGGAGAGGUAAGCGGAAUUCCUGGUGUAGCGGUGAAAUGCGUAGAUAUCAGGAGGAACACCUGUGGUGUAGACAGCUUACUGGACCACGACUGACGCUGAGACACGAAAGCGUGGGUAGCGAACCGG